RNAcentral lists this ribosomal RNA (370 nucleotides) under uncultured bacterium. Its description in RNAcentral is "bacterial SSU rRNA". It matches the Rfam family "Bacterial small subunit ribosomal RNA", at positions 432 to 793 of the family's 1533-position model. The record is from RNAcentral.
ACUUUCAGCAGUGAGGAAGGCGGAGUCGUUAAUAGCGGCCUCGUUUGACGUUAGCUGCAGAAGAAGCACCGGCUAACUCCGUGCCAGCAGCCGCGGUAAGUACGGAGGGUGCGAGCGUUAAUCGGAAUUACUGGGCGUAAAGCGCAUGCAGGUGGUUUGUUAAGUCAGAUGUGAAAGCCCGGGGCUCAACCUCGGAAUAGCAUUUGAAACUGGCAGACUAGAGUACUGUAGAGGGGGUAGAAUUUCAGGUGUAGCGGUGAAAAUGCGUAGAGAUCUGAAGGAAUACCGGUGGCGAAGGCGGCCCCCUGGACAGAUACUGACACUCAGAUGCGAAAGCGUGGGGAGCAAACAGGAUUAGAUACCCUGGUAG